UAAGGAAUAUUGCGCAAUGGGGGAAACCCUGACGCAGCAACGCCGCGUGGAGGAUGACACUUUUCGGAGCGUAAACUCCUUUUAUCAGGAAAGAAUAAUGACGGUACCUGAUGAAUAAGCACCGGCUAACUCCGUGCCAGCAGCCGCGGUAAUACGGGGGGUGCAAGCGUUACUCGGAAUCACUGGGCGUAAAGGACGCGUAGGCGGAUUAUCAAGUCUUUUGUGAAAUCUAGUGGCUUAACCACUAAACUGCUUAGGAAACUGAUAGUCUAGAGUAGGGGAGAGGUAGAUGGAAUUCUUGGUGUAGGGGUAAAAUCCGUAGAGAUCAAGAAGAAUACCCAUUGCGAAGGCGAUCUGCUGGAACCUAACUGACGCUGAGGCGUGAAAGCGUGGGUAGCAAACAGG
RNAcentral lists this ribosomal RNA (405 nucleotides) under Verrucomicrobiota bacterium. RNAcentral describes it as "Verrucomicrobia bacterium partial 16S ribosomal RNA". It matches the Rfam family "Bacterial small subunit ribosomal RNA", at positions 355 to 776 of the family's 1533-position model. The record is from RNAcentral. Lineage: Bacteria; Pseudomonadati; Verrucomicrobiota.